RNAcentral lists this unclassified non-coding RNA (270 nucleotides) under uncultured fungus. RNAcentral describes it as "partial contains small subunit ribosomal RNA, internal transcribed spacer 1, and 5.8S ribosomal RNA". The stretch from base 1 to 73 matches the Rfam family "Eukaryotic small subunit ribosomal RNA", at positions 1759 to 1831 of the family's 1831-position model. Lineage: Eukaryota; Fungi. The record is from RNAcentral.
GCAAACUUGGUCAUUUAGAGGAAGUAAAAGUCGUAACAAGGUUUCCGUAGGUGAACCUGCGGAAGGAUCAUUCAUAAUAAAAGUGUUUAUGGCGCUUUUUAAAUAAUCCAUAUCCACCUUGUGUGCAAUGUUAAUUUCUAUCAACUUGUAUCACUUUUAAUCUUUUUUUAUCUGAAAAUCUUAUGAAUUUUUUACUUAAUUCAAAAAAAAAAAAAAUAUAUAACUUUCAACAACGGAUCUCUUGGCUCUCGCAUCGAUGAAGAACGCAGC